CCGCGUGAGGGAUGACGGCCUUCGGGUUGUAAACCUCUUUUAGCAGGGAAGAAGCGAGAGUGACGGUACCUGCAGAAAAAGCGCCGGCUAACUACGUGCCAGCAGCCGCGGUAAUACGUAGGGCGCAAGCGUUAUCCGGAAUUAUUGGGCGUAAAGAGCUCGUAGGCGGUUUGUCGCGUCUGCUGUGAAAUCCCGAGGCUCAACCUCGGGCCUGCAGUGGGUACGGGCAGACUAGAGUGCGGUAGGGGAGAUUGGAAUUCCUGGUGUAGCGGUGGAAUGCGCAGAUAUCAGGAGGAACACCGAUGGCGAAGGCAGAUCUCUGGGCCGUAACUGACGCUGAGGAGCGAAAGGGUGGGGAGCAAACAGGCUUAUAUACCCUGGUACUCCACCCCGUAAACGUUGGGAACUAGUUGUGGGGUCCAUUCCACGGAUUCCGUGACGCAGCUAACGCAUUAAGUUCCCCGCCUGGGGAGUACGGCCGCAAGGCUAAAACUCAAAGGAAUUGACGGGGACCCGCACAAUUUUUCGAGCAUGCGGAUUAAUUCGAUGUCUCGCGAAGAACCUUACCAAGGCUUGACAUAUACGAGAACGGCCCAGAAAUGGUCAACUCUUUGGACACUCGCACACAGGG
RNAcentral lists this ribosomal RNA (631 nucleotides) under Microbacterium sp. RNAcentral describes it as "bacterial SSU rRNA". It matches the Rfam family "Bacterial small subunit ribosomal RNA", at positions 397 to 1039 of the family's 1533-position model. The record is from RNAcentral. Lineage: Bacteria; Bacillati; Actinomycetota; Actinomycetes; Micrococcales; Microbacteriaceae.